UGGGGAAUAUUGCGCAAUGGGGGGCAACCCUGACGCAGCAACGCCGCGUGAUUGAAGAAGGUCUUCGGAUUGUAAAAAUCUUUUAUCAAGGACGAAGAAGUGACGGUACUUGAUGAAUAAGCUCCGGCUAACUACGUGCC
This 140-nucleotide ribosomal RNA is filed under the name uncultured bacterium. RNAcentral's name for it is "partial 16S ribosomal RNA". It matches the Rfam family "Bacterial small subunit ribosomal RNA", at positions 355 to 509 of the family's 1533-position model. The record is from RNAcentral.